Mobula hypostoma (lesser devil ray) is the source of this 1014-nucleotide long non-coding RNA. RefSeq lists it as uncharacterized. The record is from RefSeq and is a predicted model, not a curated record. Lineage: Eukaryota; Metazoa; Chordata; Chondrichthyes; Myliobatiformes; Myliobatidae. The transcript has 3 exons.
UAGUGAGGCUACACCUGUGGUGGUCCGUGGGUUACUCGCUCAUACAAACGUUAAUUUUUCUCACUAACAACCCUAUGGCUUCUAAGCAAACAACAUUAACUUCUUUCUUUCGUAAACAGGCUGAGGAGCGUAACAAGAAUAACGUACAAGAUACUGAUAACAGUAAAAGUGACAAAAGCUAUGUUUCGCCUGCUUCUAGUUCAAAUUUUCUAACCGGGUCCAAAUGCAGUUCUGAAAGUAAUGGCCCUUCGAAGUCAGGCUUGUAUCCCUGUUCAGGAGUUUGGACUGAAGAAAUGUGGAAGAAAAAGAAGGAAACUUUUCCCUGGUUAGACCAAGGAUGAUAAACUUGGGUGUAAAACCCCCUCUAGUUCCGUGGAAUCCUGAGCUGUAUGUCACAUCAUGGCUGCAGUACCACAGAUCAGCAGAUGACACCAGGACAAGAGUUGCUUCAGACCCCCGAACACAUAUUACGCCUGACCCUUUGUGGAAAUUAUUGUGAAAUGUCUCAUUGGUGGCAUUUGCUUCCGUUGGGACUUGACGGCUGGAAUCUGGUCCAGACUCUCAAUGUUCCAUAAGCGCACCGUGGAGUCCUGGGAACAAGGAUAUAACUGAUGAGCUACUGAUCGAAAGAGAUACCUGAUCUAAUAACAGCAGUGAGGAGCAACAGGGGGAUCUUGGGGUCCAAGACCAUAUAUUCCUCAAAGUUGCCGUGCCACAAGGUAAUGUAGAUCAAUAAAAUCCUGGUUAGACCACAUCUGGAGUAUUGUGUUCAGUUCUGGUCGCCUCAUUAUCGGAAGAAUGUCGAAGCUUUAGAGCGGGUACAGAGGAGAUUUAUCAGGACACUUCCUGGAUCAGAGAGCAUGUCUUAUGAGGAUGGGUUGAGUGAGCUGGGCUUUUGUCUUUCAAGUGAAAGAGGAUAAGAGGUGACUUGAUAGAGAUGUACAAGAUGAUAAGAGGCAUAGAUCAAAUGGACAGCCAGAGACUUUAUCCCAGGAGAAAAACGACUAACAUGAG